GUUAAAAAGCUCGUAGUUGGAGUUCUGCCAGGUGACGCUCGUCCGCCCAAGUGGUGUGUACAGGGCGUGCAUCUGGCCCUUUCAAGGGGAACGUGUCUGCACUUCAUUGUGUGGUGCGAGAUCCUUGACUUUUACUUUGAGGAAAUAAGAGUGUUCCAAGCAGGCUCUCGUCGUGCAUAGCUCAGCAUGGAAUAAUAGCAUUGGACUUCGUUUCUACGCUGUUGGUUGCAAGAAGCGAGGUAAUGAUGAAGAGGGAUAGUUGGGGGCAUUCGUAUUUAACUGUCAGAGGUGAAAUUCUUGGAUUUGUUCAAGACGGACUACUGCGAAAGCAUCUGCCAUGGAUGUUUUCAUUGAUCAAGAACGAAAGUUAGGGGAUCGAAGACGAUCAGAUACCGUCCUAGUCUUAACUAUAAACCAUGCCGGCUAGAGAUUGGAGGUCGUUCGAUUUGUGACACCUUCAGCAUCUUGAGAGAAAUCAAAGCCUUUGGGUUCCGGGGGGAGUAUGGUCGCAAGGCUGAAACUUAAAGGAAUUGACGGAAGGGCACCACCAGGAGUGGAGCCUGCGGCUUAAUUUGACUCAACACGGGGAAACUUACCAGGUCCGGACUUAGUAAGGAUGUACAGAUUGAUAGCUCUUUACAGAUUCUAAGGGUGGUGGUGCAUGGCCGUUCUUAGUUGGUGGAGUGAUUUGUCUGGUUAAUUCCGUUAACG
RNAcentral lists this ribosomal RNA (711 nucleotides) under uncultured marine alveolate. Its description in RNAcentral is "SSU rRNA". It matches the Rfam family "Eukaryotic small subunit ribosomal RNA", at positions 618 to 1333 of the family's 1831-position model. The record is from RNAcentral.